GACGAACGCUGGCGGCGUGCUUAACACAUGCAAGUCGAACGGAAAGGCCCCCUUGUGGGGUACUCGAGUGGCGAACGGGUGAGUAACACGUGAGUAACCUACCCUUGACUUUGGGAUAACUUCAGGAAACUGGGGCUAAUACCGGAUAGGAGCUCCUGCUGCAUGGUGGGGGUUGGAAAGUUUCGGCGGUUGGGGAUGGACUCGCGGCUUAUCAGCUUGUUGGUGGGGUAGUGGCUCACCAAGGCUUUGACGGGUAGCCGGCCUGAGAGGGUGACCGGCCACAUUGGGACUGAGAUACGGCCCAGACUCCUACGGGAGGCAGCAGUGGGGAAUAUUGCACAAUGGGCGGAAGCCAGAUGCAGCAACGCCGCGUGCGGGAUGACGGCCUUCGGGUUGUAAACCGCUUUCGCCUGUGACGAAGCGUGAGUGACGGUAAUGGGUAAAGAAGCACCGGCUAACUACGUG
Molecule: ribosomal RNA, 465 nt
Filed under: uncultured bacterium
Lineage: Bacteria
Description: partial 16S ribosomal RNA
Rfam family: Bacterial small subunit ribosomal RNA
Source: RNAcentral